UAGGGAAUCUUCGGCAAUGGGGGGAACCCUGACCGAGCAACGCCGCGUGAGUGAAGAAGGUUUUCGGAUCGUAAAGCUCUGUUGUUAAGGAAGAACGAGUGUGAGAAUGGAAAGUUCAUGCUGUGACGGUACUUAACCAGAAAGGGACGGCUAACUACGUGCCAGCAGCCGCGGUAAUACGUAGGUCCCGAGCGUUGUCCGGAAUUAUUGGGCGUAAAGGGUACGCAGGCGGUUUAAUAAGUCGAAUGUUAAAGAUCGGGGCUCAACCCCGUAAAGCAUUGGAAACUGAUAAACUUGAGUAGUGGAGAGGAAAGUGGAAUUCCUAGUGUAGUGGUGAAAUACGUAGAUAUUAGGAGGAAUACCAGUAGCGAAGGCGACUUUCUGGACACAAACUGACGCUGAGGUACGAAAGCGUGGGGAGCAAACAGG
Molecule: ribosomal RNA, 429 nt
Filed under: Bacteroidota bacterium
Lineage: Bacteria; Pseudomonadati; Bacteroidota
Description: Bacteroidetes bacterium partial 16S ribosomal RNA
Rfam family: Bacterial small subunit ribosomal RNA
Source: RNAcentral